CACGUGGGUAACCUACCUAUAAGACUGGAAUAACUUCGGGAAACCGGAGCUAAUGCCGGAUAACAUAUAGAACCGCAUGGUUCUAUAGUGAAAGAUGGUUUUGCUAUCACUUAUAGAUGGACCCGCGCCGUAUUAGCUAGUUGGUAAGGUAAUGGCUUACCAAGGCGACGAUACGUAGCCGACCUGAGAGGGUGAUCGGCCACACUGGAACUGAGACACGGUCCAGACUCCUACGGGAGGCAGCAGUAGGGAAUCUUCCGCAAUGGGCGAAAGCCUGACGGAGCAACGCCGCGUGAGUGAUGAAGGUUUUCGGAUCGUAAAACUCUGUUAUUAGGGAAGAACAAAUGCGUAAGUAACUGUGCGCAUCUUGACGGUACCUAAUCAGAAAGCCACGGCUAACUACGUGCCAGCAGCCGCGGUAAUACGUAGGUGGCAAGCGUUAUCCGGAAUUAUUGGGCGUAAAGCGCGCGUAGGCGGUUUCUUAAGUCUGAUGUGAAAGCCCACGGCUCAACCGUGGAGGGUCAUUGGAAACUGGGAAACUUGAGUGCAGAAGAGGAAAGUGGAAUUCCAUGUGUAGCGGUGAAAUGCGCAGAGAUAUGGAGGAACACCAGUGGCGAAGGCGACUUUCUGGUCUGUAACUGACGCUGAUGUGCGAAAGCGUGGGGAUCAAACAGGAUUAGAUACCCUGGUAGUCCACGCCGUAAACGAUGAGUGCUAAGUGUUAGGGGGUUUCCGCCCCUUAGUGCUGCAGCUAACGCAUUAAGCACUCCGCCUGGGGAGUACGACCGCAAGGGUUGAAACUCAANNAAUUGACGGGGACCCGCACAA
This 828-nucleotide ribosomal RNA is filed under the name Staphylococcus sp. J2015s. RNAcentral's name for it is "bacterial SSU rRNA". It matches the Rfam family "Bacterial small subunit ribosomal RNA", at positions 114 to 928 of the family's 1533-position model. The record is from RNAcentral. Lineage: Bacteria; Bacillati; Bacillota; Bacilli; Caryophanales; Staphylococcaceae.